Non-coding RNA from Elaeis guineensis (African oil palm), 781 nucleotides. The record is from RefSeq and is a predicted model, not a curated record. Lineage: Eukaryota; Viridiplantae; Streptophyta; Magnoliopsida; Arecales; Arecaceae.
GUCAUUGCUGCUAAUCAUAAGAGAGAAGAAGAAGAUGUCUGUGGUGACCGCUAAAGAGGAUAGGAGGUGUUCGGAUAGAUCUUCUCGUAUUAACAUCAAGAUUGUUAGCAAUGUCUGCUCUCCUUUCACUCCCACCCAUGAAAUUUCUCUUGGAUAGUUUCUCUCUUAGCAGCCAUUUCUUGGAUUCCCCUUUAAUUUCUGGAGUGGUUUCUUCUCACUGGUUUAGAGUGCUCUUCUAAGGAUGCUUAACUGGUGGUUUUAGAUUGUGACUGACUUCUUUCUUUGAUUUCUCCUGUCCUUACAAGGUUGAAGGAUGGUUAUGAUUCAGUAACUGUGAGGGUGAAGAGAAGCAUCAAAAUGAAGGACCUAAUGAAGGCUUACAAUGACCGUAGAUCUGUUGGCGACAACACAUUCGAGUUUCUCCUAGAUGGUCAUCGAAUCCAAGCUGGAGAUGAAAGAUGGGGAUGAGAUUGAUGCCAUGGUGCAUGGCCAUGGUGGCUCAGCAAUCUGGUAGUUGUAGCUGUGUUUGUGAAGAGUGUUUCAGAUAGCUCCUGUUGGUGCCAAGAACUGCUCUCCUGUCAUCCUUGGAAACAUGUCUGAAGACAUUAUAAGUUAUCACUUGAACUAAUGUAGCUUAGAAAUCUAAUGUAAUGUGGGCAUGGAGUCAAUUCUGGAUUGCAAUUGAUAGAAAUGGAUGCCAUUUUCCAUCUCUUAGGCUUCCUAAUUGCCUUCUGCAUGACAAUUAUGCAAGCAUAUAUAUGAUCAUGGAACUUCCUGAGCA